This 70-nucleotide small nucleolar RNA is filed under the name Loxodonta africana (African savanna elephant). RNAcentral describes it as "Small nucleolar RNA SNORD112 (ENSLAFG00000032940.1)". The record is from RNAcentral. Lineage: Eukaryota; Metazoa; Chordata; Mammalia; Proboscidea; Elephantidae.
UGUACCAAUGGCAAGAGUGUGUCAUGAGCCGAAGAUUAUGAUUAAACUAUCUCUGCAUAUCUGAGACCUA